This 137-nucleotide ribosomal RNA is filed under the name uncultured bacterium. Its description in RNAcentral is "partial 16S ribosomal RNA". It matches the Rfam family "Bacterial small subunit ribosomal RNA", at positions 371 to 524 of the family's 1533-position model. The record is from RNAcentral.
AUGGGCGAAAGCCUGAACCAGCGAUUCUGCGUGAAGGAUGAAGCCUCGCGGGGUGUAAACUUCUUUUAUGGGGGAAGACGAAUGACGGUACCCCACGAAUAAGGGACGGCUAACUACGUGCCAGCAGCCGCGGUAAU